RNAcentral lists this non-coding RNA (84 nucleotides) under Streptomyces scabiei. Lineage: Bacteria; Bacillati; Actinomycetota; Actinomycetes; Kitasatosporales; Streptomycetaceae. The record is from RNAcentral.
AGAGGAAGCCGGUGCGAGUCCGGCGCGGUCCCGCCACUGUCACCGGGGAGCGGCUGUCGAACGCCUCCCGGGAGCCAGGAACUC